CAGGGAUUGCCCCAGUAACGGCGAGUGAAGCGGCAAGAGCUCAAAUUUGAAAUCUGGCCUCCCCCGGGGGCCCGAGUUGUAAUUUGCAGAGGAUGUUUCGGGUGCGGCCGCCGUCUAAGUUCCUUGGAACAGGACGUCAGAGAGGGUGAGAAUCCCGUCUUGGGCGGGCGGUCCGCGCCCGUGUGAAGCUCCUUCGACGAGUCGAGUUGUUUGGGAAUGCAGCUCUAAGCGGGUGGUAAAUUUCAUCUAAAGCUAAAUAUUGGCCGGAGACCGAUAGCGCACAAGUAGAGUGAUCGAAAGGUUAAAAGCACCUUGAAAAGGGAGUUAAACAGCACGUGAAAUUGUUGAAAGGGAAGCGCUUGCGGCCAGACUCGGGGGCGGGGUUCAGCGGGUGCUCGUCGCCCGUGUAUUCCUCGUUUCCCGGGCCAGCAUCAGUUUCGACGGCCGGUCAAAGGCCCCCGGAAUGUGUCGUCUCUCGGGACGUCUUAUAGCCGGGGGUGCAAUGCGGCCCGUCGGGACUGAGGAACGCGCUCCGGCUCGGAUGC
RNAcentral lists this ribosomal RNA (545 nucleotides) under Trichophyton tonsurans. Its description in RNAcentral is "eukaryotic LSU rRNA". It matches the Rfam family "Eukaryotic large subunit ribosomal RNA", at positions 69 to 626 of the family's 3401-position model. The record is from RNAcentral. Lineage: Eukaryota; Fungi; Ascomycota; Eurotiomycetes; Onygenales; Arthrodermataceae.